This 130-nucleotide small nuclear RNA is filed under the name Salvator merianae (Argentine black and white tegu). Its description in RNAcentral is "U4 spliceosomal RNA (ENSSMRG00000006051.1)". The stretch from base 1 to 73 matches the Rfam family "U4 spliceosomal RNA". Rfam says of the family: U4 small nuclear RNA (U4 snRNA) is a component of the major U2-dependent spliceosome. Lineage: Eukaryota; Metazoa; Chordata; Lepidosauria; Squamata; Teiidae. The record is from RNAcentral.
CGCUUUGUGCAACGGCAGUAUCGUAGCCAAUGAGGCUUAUCCAAGGCAUGAUUAUUGCUAAUUGAAACAAACUGGCAUGGUCAGGGUUGACAUGGAGGCUCCUGCUGGCACUUUGUGGCCUUUCUGUGGC